CCUACGGGAGGCAGCAGUAGGGAAUUUUGCGCAAUGGGCGAAAGCCUGACGCAGCAACACCGCGUGAAUGUUAAGCCCUUCGUGGUGUAAAGUUCUGUCAAUAGGGACGAAUUUUGACUGUACCUAUAAAGGAAGCACCGGCUAACUCCGGGCCAGCAGCCGCGGUGCUACGGGGGGUGCAAGCGGUGUCCGGAAUCCUUGGGCGUAAAGCGUUCGUAGGCGGCACGGUAAGUCUGAUGUUACAGCCCGGGGCUCAACACCGGUUCGGCAUUGGACACUAUCUCGCUCGACUGUGGUAGAGGUAACGGGCAUUCCUGGUGUAGCGGUGAAAUGCGUCGAUAUCAGGAGGAACAUCGGUGGCGACAGCGCUUUACUGGACCAUGAUUGACGCUGAGGAACGACAGCCAGGGGAGCAAAUGGGAUUAGAUACCCUGGUAGUC
RNAcentral lists this ribosomal RNA (440 nucleotides) under uncultured bacterium. Its description in RNAcentral is "partial 16S ribosomal RNA". It matches the Rfam family "Bacterial small subunit ribosomal RNA", at positions 338 to 795 of the family's 1533-position model. The record is from RNAcentral.